GGUUGGAGGAAGAAGAUGAUGGUGGUGGUUAGGGAGAAGAAGAAUGGUGGGUCUGGUUUUUUUAGGCGUCACCUCCUGGGAAAGGAAGAGACUUUUUCUUUUAAGAGAGAAAAAUCCCCAAUCUCUCGUCCGUCUUUUUUCUUUCUCUUUUUUUUAUGUGAACCGUUGAGAGAGCUUUUUUGUCUUCCGUUUCGGAUGGUGAGUGGAGGGAGUAUUAGUGAUCAUUCCACUUGCAAACUGUCAAAAAGAAAAUGAGAGAGAGAGUUUUUGGACGCUAGCUGGCGUUUAGUUCUCAGAAGAUAUUUUUUAGCUGAUUUUUUUUAUACUCCUAUUUAUGUAAUUUCUAAUUUUUGAUUGGAUGAAUAGGAAAAACAUGGAUUGCUUAACAUAGACCAUUGAUUAUUUUGAAUCGAUGAUCG
RNAcentral lists this long non-coding RNA (419 nucleotides) under Lathyrus oleraceus (garden pea). Its description in RNAcentral is "Pisum sativum (pea) long non-coding RNA (PSAT_LNC009394)". Lineage: Eukaryota; Viridiplantae; Streptophyta; Magnoliopsida; Fabales; Fabaceae. The record is from RNAcentral.